This 253-nucleotide ribosomal RNA is filed under the name uncultured bacterium. RNAcentral describes it as "partial 16S ribosomal RNA". It matches the Rfam family "Bacterial small subunit ribosomal RNA", at positions 524 to 776 of the family's 1533-position model. The record is from RNAcentral.
UACAGAGGUCUCAAGCGUUGUUCGGAUUCAUUGGGCGUAAAGGGUGCGUAGGUGGUGCCGUAAGUUGGAUGUGAAAUCUCGGGGCUUAACCCCGAAACUGCAUUCAAUACUGCGGUGCUUGAGUACUGGAGAGGAGAUUGGAAUUCACGGUGUAGCAGUGAAAUGCGUAGAUAUCGUGAGGAAGACCAGUGGCGAAGGCGGAUCUCUGGACAGUUACUGACACUGAGGCACGAAGGCCAGGGGAGCAAACGGG